Molecule: ribosomal RNA, 351 nt
Filed under: uncultured bacterium
Lineage: Bacteria
Description: bacterial SSU rRNA
Rfam family: Bacterial small subunit ribosomal RNA
Source: RNAcentral
AGAGUUUGAUCCUGGCUCAGGAUGAACGCUGGCGGCGUGCCUAAUACAUGCAAGUCGAGCGAACGGACGAGAAGCUUGCUUCUCUGAUGUUAGUGGCGGACGGGUGAGUAACACGUGGAUAACCUACCUAUAAGACUGGGAUAACUUCGGGAAACCGGAGCUAAUACCGGAUAAUAUUUUGAACCGCAUGGUUCAAAAGUGAAAGACGGUCUUGCUGUCACUUAUAGAUGGAUCCGCGCUGCAUUAGCUAGUUGGUAAGGUAACGGCUUACCAAGGCAACGAUGCAUAGCCGACCUGAGAGGGUGAUCGGCCACACUGGAACUGAGACACGGUCCAGACUCCUACGGGAGG